Molecule: long non-coding RNA, 625 nt
Organism: Hipposideros armiger (great roundleaf bat)
Lineage: Eukaryota; Metazoa; Chordata; Mammalia; Chiroptera; Hipposideridae
Exons: 3
Source: RefSeq, a predicted model, not a curated record
ACUAUUGGAUGGCUGUUUCUUCCAUAUCAUGUGUAACAGUACAAAAGAGGACCCAGUAUGGAAUGUCAUCACCACAUUAGAAAAUCAAGUUUCCACCUCAAAAAUAUUACUUAAUUUCUUUGGAGAAGAGUUCUCAGUUUUAUUAUGCUUGGAUAUAUGCUGGGCUGCCAAGUAUUGUGCACAUUUUCAAGGAUGAUAACUGAGGUAGCUUUUCCACAGAUAGUCCUUCAAAAUCUGAAAGUGAUGAAAAUGUGGCAUCAAUUAAUUGUUUAUGACAUUCUUCUGACACUAAUGGAAUCAAUAAAUGAACACUUAGUGCUUCACUUUUCAUCCCUGAACAAGAAAAUGUGGAAUCAAAAAAAGAAGAGAUGCCUGCAAUCAAAGAACAAUUCCUACUCUCCAGACUCCAUAAACUAUAGCAUCUAAGGUUAAUUCUGGCCCUUUUUGCUUCAUAAAUGGCUAAUGCAGCCUUUUGAUUUUCUUUCACCUCCUUUUCUCCUUCCUCCAUGUCAGGUUCUAGUGAGCAAGGUUCUUUUUGCACAUCAGAAAUCUGGCUAGUUAGAGAUCAGUGCAGAUGAUGUAGAAAGCCUGACCUUAGUUCACUUAUGAAAACAAUAGCUGUGAC